Molecule: ribosomal RNA, 253 nt
Filed under: uncultured bacterium
Lineage: Bacteria
Description: partial 16S ribosomal RNA
Rfam family: Bacterial small subunit ribosomal RNA
Source: RNAcentral
UACAGAGGUCUCAAGCGUUGUCCGGAUUUAUUGGGCGUAAAGAGCGUGUAGGCGGCUAUACAGGUCCGUUGUGAAAACUGGAGGCUUAACCUCCAGACGUCGAUGGAAACCGUAUGGCUAGAGUCCGGAAGAGGAGAGUGGAAUUCCUGGUGUAGCGGUGAAAUGCGCAGAUAUCAGGAAGAACACCCGUGGCGAAGGCGGCUCUCUGGGACGGUACUGACGCUGAGACGCGAAAGCGUGGGGAGCGAACAGG